RNAcentral lists this ribosomal RNA (115 nucleotides) under Corchorus olitorius. The record is from RNAcentral. Lineage: Eukaryota; Viridiplantae; Streptophyta; Magnoliopsida; Malvales; Malvaceae.
GCGAUCAUAUCAGCACUAAUGCACCGGAUCCCAUUAGAACUCCGCAGUUAAGCGUGCUUGGGCGAGAGUAGUACUAGGAUGGGUGACCUCCUGGGAAGUCCUCGUGUUGCACCCC